RNAcentral lists this ribosomal RNA (493 nucleotides) under uncultured bacterium. RNAcentral's name for it is "partial 16S ribosomal RNA". It matches the Rfam family "Bacterial small subunit ribosomal RNA", at positions 30 to 507 of the family's 1533-position model. The record is from RNAcentral.
UCGAACGCUGGCGGCGUGCUUACAACUUCCAAGUGAACGGAAAGGCCCGCCUUUCCUUGUGGGUUUGCGGUACCCGGGUGGCCAACCGGGGAGUUAAACGGGAGUGAAUCGCCCCCCAACUUGGUAUAAGCCCUGGGAACCGGGGCUUAUUUCCGGUUAGAAUUCCGGGUGGUGCCUGGGGUUGAAAACGGAUUUUCAGGUGGUGGGGGUUGAGCUCGCGGCCUUCCAGCUUGUGGGUGGGGUAAGGGCCUACGAGGGCGGCGACGGGUAGCCGGCUGGAGAGGGUGGACGGCCACAUUGAGACUGAGAUACGGCUCAGACUCCUACGGGAGGCAGCAGUGGGGAAUAUUGCACAAUGGGCGGAAGCCUGAUGCAGCGACGCCGCGUGGGGGAUGACGGACUUCGGGUUGUAAACUCCUUUCGACCGCGAGGAAGCCACCUGGUUGGAAGGGUGGUGACGGUAGUGGUAGAAGAAGCACCGGCUAACUACGUG